RNAcentral lists this ribosomal RNA (711 nucleotides) under Meloidogyne marylandi. RNAcentral describes it as "eukaryotic LSU rRNA". It matches the Rfam family "Eukaryotic large subunit ribosomal RNA", at positions 399 to 962 of the family's 3401-position model. The record is from RNAcentral. Lineage: Eukaryota; Metazoa; Nematoda; Chromadorea; Rhabditida; Meloidogynidae.
GUGAACCGGUGGAGGUGGAAACGGAUAGAGUCGGCGCUAUCUUGCAAGUAUUCAUUUACAUUUUUAUCGUAUUGUAAUCUCUGAGCUCCAGAUUGGGACAGUUUUUACUUUAUUAUAAAAUUGAGAUGCAUUUGCUUGUUUGGUGCGUAGGGAUGUUUGAGAUAGAUUUGUGACCGCCGUUUUGAGGCCAGCUUGCUGGUACCCAAACNGUGUUAGCAUUUUUUAUCUUGGAUAUUUGAGUAUGGCUUACGGGCGUUUAUAGGUUCGAUCUGAGUGUAAGUUACGGUCGCAUGCGACACGUGCUUUUCAAUUAGUUCGGUCCAGUUAAUGCUCUCAUACUCUUUCCCUAUGUAAAAGCCGGUCAUCUAUCCGACCCGUCUUGAAACACGGACCAAGGAGUUUAUCGUGUGCGCAAGUUUUUGGGUGUUUAAAACCUAAAAGCGCAAUGAAAGUAAAUGUUCUCUUUCGAGACUGAUGUGCGAUAUUUUUUUUUCGAAAAAAUUGCAGCAUGGCCCCAUUCUAUCUGUUUACAGAAGGGUGGCGGAAGAGCGUACGCGGUGAGACCCGAAAGAUGGUGAACUAUUCCUGAGCAGGAUGAAGCCAGAGGAAACUCUGGUGGAAGUCCGAAGCGGUUCUGACGUGCAAAUCGAUCGUCUGACUUGGGUAUAGGGGCGAAAGACUAAUCGAACCAUCUAGUAGCUGGUUCCUUCC